UAAUACUGUAUAGGCAAUGUGUUCCUUUAAUGGUUUUUUGUUUAAAUUGUUUUUUCGCAUAAGGAUGGGUCUGCGGCGGAUUAGGUAGUUGUAUUAGGUAAUGGCUUACCAAGCCUUUGAUCGGUACGGUUUGUGAGAGCAAGAGCCCGGAGAUGGAUCCUGAGACGAGUUUUCAGUCCCUACGGGGUGCAGCAGGCGCGAAACCUCCGCAAUGUGAGAAAUCGCGACGGGGGGAUCCCAAGUGCCAUUCUUAACGGGAUGGCUUUUCAUUAGUGUAAAGAGCUUUUGGAAUAAGAGCUGGGCAAGACCGGUGCCAGCCGCCGCGGUAACACCGGCAGCUCUAGUGGUAGCAAUUUUUAUUGGGCCUAAAGCGUCCGUAGCCGGUUUAAUAAGUCUCUGGUGAAAUCCUGUAGCUUAACUAUGGGAAUUGCUGGAGAUACUAUUAGACUUGAGACCGGGAGAGGUUAGAGGUACUCCCAGGGUAGAGGUGAAAUUCUGUAAUCCUGGGAGGACCGCCGGUUGCGAAGGCGUCUAACUGGAACGGUUGUGACGGUGAGGGACGAAAGUUAGGGGCGCGAACCGGAUUAGAUACCCGGUAGUCCUAACUUAAACGAUGCGGACUUGGUGU
This 628-nucleotide ribosomal RNA is filed under the name uncultured archaeon. Its description in RNAcentral is "bacterial SSU rRNA". It matches the Rfam family "Archaeal small subunit ribosomal RNA", at positions 147 to 774 of the family's 1478-position model. The record is from RNAcentral.